Molecule: ribosomal RNA, 450 nt
Filed under: uncultured bacterium
Lineage: Bacteria
Description: bacterial SSU rRNA
Rfam family: Bacterial small subunit ribosomal RNA
Source: RNAcentral
GUGGGGAAUAUUGGACAAUGGGCGAAAGCCUGAUCCAGCCAUGCCGCGUGUGUGAAGAAGGUCUUCGGAUUGUAAAGCACUUUAAGUUGGGAGGAAGGGUUGUAGAUUAAUACUCUGCAAUUUUGACGUUACCGACAGAAUAAGCACCGGCUAACUCUGUGCCAGCAGCCGCGGUAAUACAGAGGGUGCAAGCGUUAAUCGGAAUUACUGGGCGUAAAGCGCGCGUAGGUGGUUUGUUAAGUUGGAUGUGAAAUCCCCGGGCUCAACCUGGGAACUGCAUUCAAAACUGACUGACUAGAGUAUGGUAGAGGGUGGUGGAAUUUCCUGUGUAGCGGUGAAAUGCGUAGAUAUAGGAAGGAACACCAGUGGCGAAGGCGACCACCUGGACUAAUACUGACACUGAGGUGCGAAAGCGUGGGGAGCAAACAGGAUUAGAAACCCUAGUAGUCC